This is a non-coding RNA of Myodes glareolus (Bank vole), 153 nucleotides long. The record is from RefSeq and is a predicted model, not a curated record. Lineage: Eukaryota; Metazoa; Chordata; Mammalia; Rodentia; Cricetidae.
CUCCUGCUCCAGCGACUAGGCUCCCUUCCUGACGGUUUAUGGUGUAUGGUUUGUGGCUGAAGAUGUACGCGCUCAGAUGCACACUCUGGCUGCCCGCUGUCAUGCCUCCCUCUGGAACCAGAAGCCAAAAUAAAGUCUUUCUUCCACGAGUCA